AUACUUACCUGGCAGGGGAGGUACCAUGAUCAUGAAGGUGGUUUUCCCAGGGCAAGGCUUAUUCAUUCCACUCCGAAUGUGCUGAGCCCUGAGAUUUCCCCAACUGUGGGAAACUCGACUGCAUAAUUUGUGGUAAUGGGGGGAAAAUUAACAAUGAAAUUCUA
Small nuclear RNA from Heterocephalus glaber (naked mole-rat), 164 nucleotides. Its record names the gene U1. It matches the Rfam family "U1 spliceosomal RNA". From Rfam's summary of the family: U1 is a small nuclear RNA (snRNA) component of the spliceosome (involved in pre-mRNA splicing). Its 5' end forms complementary base pairs with the 5' splice junction, thus defining the 5' donor site of an intron. There are significant differences in sequence and secondary structure between metazoan and yeast U1 snRNAs, the latter being much longer (568 nucleotides as compared to 164 nucleotides in human). The record is from Ensembl. NCBI's taxonomy places the organism in Eukaryota, Metazoa, Chordata, Mammalia, Rodentia, Bathyergidae.